RNAcentral lists this ribosomal RNA (253 nucleotides) under uncultured bacterium. Its description in RNAcentral is "partial 16S ribosomal RNA". It matches the Rfam family "Bacterial small subunit ribosomal RNA", at positions 524 to 776 of the family's 1533-position model. The record is from RNAcentral.
UACGAAGGAUCCAAGCGUUAUCCGGAUUUAUUGGGUUUAAAGGGUGCGUAGGCGGGCUAUUAAGUCAGUGGUGAAAGCCCCAAGCUUAACUUGGGAAUUGCCAUUGAUACUGAUUGUCUUGAGUACACUUGAAGUGGGCGGAAUGUGUCAUGUAGCGGUGAAAUGCUUAGAUAUGACAUAGAACACCAAUUGCGAAGGCAGCUGGCUACACAAAUAUUGACACUGAGGCACGAAAGCGUGGGGAUCAAACAGG